This 253-nucleotide ribosomal RNA is filed under the name uncultured bacterium. RNAcentral's name for it is "partial 16S ribosomal RNA". It matches the Rfam family "Bacterial small subunit ribosomal RNA", at positions 524 to 776 of the family's 1533-position model. The record is from RNAcentral.
UACGAGGGGGGCAAGCGUUGUUCGGAUUUAUUGGGCGUAAAGAGCGUGUAGGCGGCCAGGUAGGUCUGCUGUGAAAACUCGAGGCUCAACCUCGAGAUGUCGGCGGAAACCAUCUGGCUAGAGUCCGGAAGAGGAGAAUGGAAUUCCCGGUGUAGCGGUGAAAUGCGCAGAUAUCGGGAAGAACACCCGUGGCGAAGGCGGUUCUCUGGGACGGUACUGACGCUGAGACGCGAAAGCGUGGGGAGCGAACAGG